GCUAGUAAUGGCAGGUCAGCAUACUGCCGUGAAUACGUUCCCGGGCCUUGUACACACCGCCCGUCACACCAUGAGAGUUGGGAAUACCCGAAGCCUGUGAGCUAACGUUAAGAGGCAGCAGUCGAAGGUAGAAUCAAUGAUUGGGGUGAAGUCGUAACAAGGUAGC
RNAcentral lists this ribosomal RNA (166 nucleotides) under uncultured bacterium. Its description in RNAcentral is "partial 16S ribosomal RNA". It matches the Rfam family "Bacterial small subunit ribosomal RNA", at positions 1334 to 1500 of the family's 1533-position model. The record is from RNAcentral.